UGGGGAAUUUUGCACAAUGGGGGAAACCCUGAUGCAGCGACGCCGCGUGAUUUAGAAGGCCUUCGGGUUGUAAAAAUCUUUUGUAUAGGAAGAAAAUGACAGUACUAUACGAAUAAGGACCGGCUAAUUACGUGCCAGCAGCCGCGGUAAUACGUAAGGUCCGAGCGUUGUCCGGAAUCAUUGGGCGUAAAGGGUACGUAGGCGGGUAAGCAAGUUAGAAGUGAAAUCCUAUAGCUCAACUAUAGUAAGCUUUUAAAACUGCUCAUCUUGAGGUAUGGAAGGGAAAGUGGAAUUCCUAGUGUAGCGGUGAAAUGCGCAGAUAUUAGGAGGAAUACCGGUGGCGAAGGCGACUUUCUGGCCAUAACCUGACGCUGAGGUACGAAAGCGUGGGGAGCGAACAGG
Molecule: ribosomal RNA, 402 nt
Filed under: Bacteroidota bacterium
Lineage: Bacteria; Pseudomonadati; Bacteroidota
Description: Bacteroidetes bacterium partial 16S ribosomal RNA
Rfam family: Bacterial small subunit ribosomal RNA
Source: RNAcentral